GGCACCCUUAUUUGAUGGGGGAGUAGGAUUGCUGAUUCUGCUAGCAAGGAAGCGGCGGAUCAGGCCUCUGAGGAAGGGAGCCAUGGUGUCUGGUUCAUGCUCCAGGUAGUACAUAAUACCACCCAUACAGGCACAAAACAAGGGCACCUCAGCAUUCUUGAUAUCUGGAAGCAAAUGGCGAUUCACCAAUAUAUACCACAAAGAAUCUGCAGCUCGAGGAAGAACAUACAAGGCAAGUUCCCCACGUCUAGCUUUCUUCUCAAGCAACACAGAGAGGCCUGAGAGAGCCCCAGCUAACCAAUAUACAAGCUUAUGGUCUUUUGAUGCCACCUUCCGGUGGCAAC
This 344-nucleotide unclassified non-coding RNA is filed under the name Hevea brasiliensis (rubber tree). The record is from RNAcentral. Lineage: Eukaryota; Viridiplantae; Streptophyta; Magnoliopsida; Malpighiales; Euphorbiaceae.